This 1005-nucleotide long non-coding RNA is filed under the name Piliocolobus tephrosceles (Ugandan red Colobus). Its description in RNAcentral is "lncRNA (ENSPTEG00000024155.1)". The record is from RNAcentral. Lineage: Eukaryota; Metazoa; Chordata; Mammalia; Primates; Cercopithecidae.
AAUAUUACAUGCAAAAAAAAAGCUGAAUAUGAAUUAAAAAAAGCAAAAAUACGUAAUAAAAAUGAAAAUUAUGAGGAUAAUGUUUAUGUAAAAGAAAUAAAAUGUUAUGAGUAUGUAUUAGAACAAUUAAAUAAUUUAAAUUUAUAUAAUUGUAGCGAAAUUAAUGAAAACAAUAAAGCUUUAUUAGCAUUAGCAAAAACUAAAUGUAUUUUUGUUAAAUCAGUUAGAUCAUUUCCACAAGAAGAAACUGGUUGUGUACUAAAUGCAAAAAAUUUAACUAAACUACAAUUAUAUUUAUAUAAUAAUAAUUUUAUUAAUAAAUUUCAAAAAGAAAAUAUUGUUGAAACAUUAAGUUUAGAUGAAUUAAGAAAAAUAGAAAAUAUAAAAAAUCCUUGUGUUAAUAAUAAGGAAGAUUAUAAUAAUAAUGAUACUAAAGAACUAUUAAAUGAAUUAUAUUAUACAAAUAUAAAAGAAAAUGAAGAUAUAUACAAAAUAAAAGAUCAUACUAUAAAUAAUUAUUCAAAUGAUAAUAAAGAUUAUAAUAAUAAUAAUAAUAAUAAUAACAAUAAUAAUAAUAAUAAUAAUAAUAACAAUAUUAUUACGAAACAAAAUAAUAGUAUAUAUAUUAAUGAAGAUAUUGAUAAUGCAAAUGAAGAAUUAAGAAUAAAGUUAUGUGAAAACUUAAAAUAUAAAAUAGUUGCUAAUUGUACUAGUGAUAAAAAUAUGUCUGACACGGCUUUUCAAAUAUAUCAUGCAGAGUUAAAUCAUAUUGACGAUAUAUGCUUUUAUAUACAGUCAAUAGAAUGGAACAAAAAAACUGAAGAUAAUAUUAACAGGUUGGGAGAAGCUUCUAUUCUCAUAGCAAAGCAAAUGACAACGAAUUUGGAAAACAUGAAACUAAUAGAACAUGCACAAGUACAGCAAAUAGAAAACACGAAUAGGUAAAUUGAAAAAUUAAUUAUACUAACACACAUAUCGCAAAUGUGAGUAUCUACACAUAUACAU